Non-coding RNA from Callithrix jacchus (white-tufted-ear marmoset), 3709 nucleotides. Lineage: Eukaryota; Metazoa; Chordata; Mammalia; Primates; Cebidae. The record is from RefSeq and is a predicted model, not a curated record.
AUGGAUAAGAAGAAAGUGUUGAUCCAGGUGCAUCCCAAGGACAAGUUUGUCAUAGAUGUAGACAAAAAUACCAGCAUCAGUGAUGUGACACCCAGUUCCUGGGUGGUUCUAAGAAAUGAUAGCUACACUUUAUACAAGAUCCUACCCAACAAGGUGGACCCAUUGGUGUCAAUGAUGAUGGUGAAGAAAGUGCCAGAUUCAACUUAUGAAAUGAUUGGCGGACUGACUGGACAGGCAGAUCAAGGAGAUCAAAGAAGUGACUGAGCUGCCUGAUAAGCAUCCUCAGCUCUUCAAAGUGCACUAGGCAUUGCCCAGCCCAAGGGAGUGCUGCUUGGAAGACAUUGUUGGCCUGGGCUCUGGCUCAUCAUAAGGACCAAACCUUUAUUCAUGUCUCUGGCUCCGAAUUGGGACAAAAAUUCAUUGGGGAAUUUCUGUUAUGACAGAGAAAAUGCUCAUCUGUUGUCUUCAUGGAUGAAAUCUUCAUCGGCUCCUCUCAGCUGGAGGGGAUUGCUUCACUGGAGGGAACAAUGAAGUGCAGCAGACGAUGCUUUGAGGAUGGCUUUGAGGCCACCAAGAAUAUCAGGGUUUAUCAUGGCUACUAAAACGAUUGAUAUCCUAGAUUUGGUAAUACUUUUUCCAGGGGACAUUGACAGAGAAAUUGAAUUGCCAUUCUGCAAUGAGGAGGCCCUGCUGGACACUUUUAAGAUUCAUUCUCAGAAACGAACCUGACCAAGGGAAUCAACCUGAGAAAAAUUGCUGAGCUUAUGUCAGGAGCAUCGGGCUGAAAUGAAGGGCAUGUGUACAGAAACCAGUCUGUAUGCCCUGAGGUAAUAGCGAGUCCCUGUCACUCAGAAGGGCUUUGAGAUAGUGGUAGCCAAAGUCAUGCCAAAAGACAGCGAGGACAAACACAUCCAUCAAGAAACUGGAAUUGAGUGGACGUCCUUUGUGUGCAUCCCUACAAUAAAGCUCUGUGGAACAAGCAAAACAAAAAGUGUUUCAGGGAGGAGUGAACUGCUAGUGCAUAAUCAAUAACUUUUAAAAUUUAGCUUGUAUUUAGUAACAUUUCAUUAUGUUUUGAAAAGAAGAGUAAAAAAUACCACAAUUUUCAUGAUGUAAAAGGUAUCGAGUUUCCUAGCAUAAGAACAUGAGUUCUGGAAAAAGUCUUAGGGACAGUGAACAAGAUAAAGGCCCCCCCCCCCCACUUUGUUUGUAAAAAGAGAUAUUAAUGCCUACAUCAGGGUUGGUGUGAGGAUUAAAUUAAAAAAUACAUGUAUGUAAGCACCAGACACAUAGUAAGCACUUAAUAAUGUUAGUGGCUAGUAUAAACAAUAAACAUAUUCUCUCCAGUCAUGAGGUGUAGUCAUAGUAUUUAAGACCUUAGCUGAAUUGUUUAAAGAAACCUAGGUAUAAUAGAGAACAUUAUGGGUGCUGAUUUCCACUCUCACUAAAAUAUAGUGACUUUGCUGUAUCAGCAACUAACUAUAAAGCACCACUUGAUUCUGUAGAUUGUUACAGACCACGAAUGUAGAAAUGAGACAGUUGAUCUCUAGGAACUGAAUUAAGCAAGCAUGUAAUAGAGAACAGUAAAAGUUGUGAUAGACACAUGUACAAGGUGCUGUAGAGGUAUAAUUAGGAAAGUUAUUCAACUGAGACUAGGCAAGAGAGUGAUUACACUUAAGUAUUUAAGAAGAAAUAGAUCUUAGCACUAGGGGAUGUGGAACAUUCAAAGCAGAAAGUUUGGAAAGAGUAUUCCCAAGGCAAAAAGCUUAGCACAUACAAAGAUAGGAGAAAAGCGUGACACUCUUUAAGAGUUACUAUGUUGGCCAGGCACGGUGGCUCAUGCCUGUAAUCCCAGCACUUUGGGAGGCUGAGGGUAGAUCACCUCCUGAGGCCAGGAGUUUGAGAUCAGCCUGGCCAGUGUGGUAAAACCCCAUCUCUACUAAAAAUAUAAAAAUGAACCAGGUGCAGUAGCAUGCACCUGUAGUCCCAGAUACUUGGAAGGCUGAGGCACAAGCCCAGGAGUCAGAGGUUGCAGUGAGCUGAGAUCAUGCCACUGCACUCUGGCCUGAGCAAUAGAGUGAGACUCUGUCUCAAAAAAAAAGUUACUAUGUCUAGAGAGGUAAACAGGUGAUAAGUCAUGAAGACAUUUAUUUGUCAAACUAUAUUUGAAGGAUUUGAAAGAGAAAAAAAUCACAUUUAUACUUAAGAUUAGAAAGGUAUGAGAUUAGAGGCAGAGAGACCUGUUAGAAAAUUUAUACCAAUUCAAGCAAAAUAAUGAGGGGCAGAACUAAAGCAAUGAAAAUAGGGAAAGCAAGGACAGAAGAGCAAAAGUUAAAGAUUUAGAGAGCAGACUUGACCCAUCUGGGUAGUCAUUUGGAUAUGAAGGAUGAAAGACAAAACCAGGACAAGUUCUAGUGCAUUCUAUUGCCAGUGCUGCACAGUCUGGAGGCAGCACAGUACAUCACAUGGUGAAGGAGUUCACAAGAGGGAACCAGACUAGCUUUCAUAACAGACCCACUCAUGAUAACUAACCCCGUCCCUUGAUAUAACCCAUUAGUCCAUGCAUAGAGUAAUCCAUUUUUGGAGACAUAGAUAGCCCUCGUGACCCAGUCACCACUUAAAGGCCCCACCUCUUAAUACUGAUGUAUUUUGGAUUAAGUUUUAACAUGAGUUUCAGUGGGGACAGACAUUCAAAUCAUAGCACUGUCUGUUAGGGUGCAGGAGGUGUCUCGACCCAAAUGUUGCCAGCACUUUUUAGGGAGUCAGUAAGUGUGUGAUAAGUGGGAUAGCUGAGCUAGUUUAAUCGUGUAGUUUGGUUGGGUUGGACUUUGCCUCGUGUCCCUUCCCUGCUUAGCUCUAGCUGCCUGUUGGAAUGCAGCCAUGCUUUCCUGGGUUUGCUUAGUGAAAUGCUGAGAUGCACUCUGAAGCAUUCUUGAGGUUUUCUCUUUGGUUCAUUUGUCCCAUACUCUUUCCAUUAUAUCAGUCUUCUCAGAUCUUCAUUACACAAGUAAAUCUACUGUCGGAAACAGGGUCUUGUAGAAGUAGACAUAUGGGAAAGAUAGAGCCUGCUGUCCUGAUGGAUGCUGCUGUUAAGAUAGGUUGGGUUGGCCUAGGUAAGAGGAGGACCAGAAGAGAUUUAUGACUUCUUGGAAGGCUAUGAGUGGCUGCUGGCCCCAUCAAAAUCUGUUUUGUUUAACGAAAGUCAAAAAAUGAAUAUUGGUACACUUACAUUUCUUUCUUGGAAGAGCAGCAGAAACCUUGGGAUAUCCUUGUGGGUCAGGGAGAUAACUCUGCUCAUGGAUUCCCUAAUUUUAUGCCACAUAAUUCGUGGAGAAACCAAUUCAAGUUUUCACAGGUUUCUCUUAGAGUUAACUUAGGACUUCCUAGACCAAGAAUUCCUACAAUGCAAGGCCUGUGAAAAUAAUGUAAACUUAAUACCUGACAGAUAUAUAUCCAAAGAUGUCAGAGCCCUAUAUUUAUAAAUAUUACCACAUGGUUUAAGAUUCGACUUCCCACAUAAAGUGAGUAAAAAUAACAAUGAUUUUUCUGCAGUAUUUUAAUGAUGCUAUAAUUAUAAAGCAGGGUUUUAAAAUUCUGCCAUGUAGUGCCUUAUUUUUAUAGUAAUGUUUUCUAUGAACUUUUGCAUUUAAUGUGUAUUAUUCUAUGAGAUUUAAAAAGUAUGUAACUUAAAAAAUAUCUUUCCAACAAA